GUGGUGCACGGCUGUCGUCAGCUCGUGCCGUGAGGUGUCAGGUUAAGUCCUAUAACGAGCGCAACCCCUGUUGUUAGUUGCCAGCGAGUCAAGUCGGGAACUCUAACAAGACUGCCAGUGCAAACUGUGAGGAAGGUGUGGAUGACGU
RNAcentral lists this ribosomal RNA (148 nucleotides) under uncultured bacterium. RNAcentral describes it as "partial 16S ribosomal RNA". It matches the Rfam family "Bacterial small subunit ribosomal RNA", at positions 1038 to 1185 of the family's 1533-position model. The record is from RNAcentral.